CUUUCCUGGUCGACGAUUUGGUUGGCUACCUCGACUUGGCAGGCUAUACUCUUUCUGAUUCGGCUGCCACCAAUUGGGUCGUCUUGAGUGUGGGUCCGGCGUCCCUAGUGACAGAUCUUAGGAUUUGGGUACAAGGCAUUAGAUCCAUCGACUUCAAACUUCUUCGUCUCCAUUAUCUUCCCCGAGAAUGAAUACUGGAGCUUCAGCCGAUCAGGCGGUAAACACCGUUACUUCGCUGUUGGCGGCCUUGGCGCUUGCACCAGCGCCUACGGUCGCUUCGCCCGAUCAGCCUUCUGGGUCUCAACCUCGGGCUGUCCCUAUUCCUACUGCCGUGGAUCCGGCACCGCUUCCUUUUAUUCCGCUUUUUUUUCCUUUGCCGGUCAACGGUGACACUACAAUGUCCGAUUCACAGCCGGGCACUGUUACUCGGCGCCUGCACCCCCUCGAUCCUCCGCAGCCCGACAGACGUCGCCUUGUUUCAGUGGACGCUGCGGCAAAAGUGCAAUUGAGUUUGCCCGACUACAUUUCUUUCCUGGUCGACGAUUUGGUUGGCUACCUCGGCUUGGCAGGCUAUACUCUUUCUGAUUCGGCUGCCACCAAUUGGGUCGUCUUGAGUGUGGGUCCGGUGUCCCUAGUGACAGAUCUUAGGAUUUGGGUACAAGGCAUUAGAUCCAUCGACUUCAAACUUCUUCGUCUCCAUUAUCUUCCCCGAGAAUGAAUACUGGAGCUUCAGCCGAUCAGGCGGUAAACACCGUUACUUCGCUGUUGGCGGCCUUGGCGCUUGCACCAGCGCCUACGGUCGCUUCGCCCGAUCAGCCUUCUGGGUCUCAACCUCGGGCUGUCCCUAUUCCUACUGCCGUGGAUCCGGCACCGCUUCCUUUUCCGCUUUUUUUCCUUUGCCGGUCAACGGUGACACUACAAUGUCCGAUUCACAGCCGGGCACUGUUACUCGGCGCCUGCACCCCCUCGAUCCUCCGCAGCCCGACAGACGUCGCCUUGUUUCAGUGGACGCUGCGGCAAAAGUGCAAUUGAGUUUGCCCGACUACAUUUCUUUCCUGGUCGACGAUUUGGUUGGCUACCUCGGCUUGGCAGGCUAUACUCUUUCUGAUUCGGCUGCCACCAAUUGGGUCGUCUUGAGUGUGGGUCCGGUGUCCCUAGUGACAGAUCUUAGGAUUUGGGUACAAGGCAUUAGAUCCAUCGACUUCAAACUUCUUCGUCUCCAUUAUCUUCCCCGAGAAUGAAUACUGGAGCUUCAGCCGAUCAGGCGGUAAACACCGUUACUUCGCCGUUGGCGGCCUUGGCGCUUGCACCAGCGCCUACGGUCGCUUCGCCCGAUCAGCCUUCUGGGUCUCAACCUCGGGCUGUCCCUAUUCCUACUGCCGUAGAUCCGGCACCGCUUCCUUCGCCGGUCAACGGUGACACUACAAUGUCCGAUUCACAGCCGGGCACUGUUACUCUGUGCCUGCACCCCUUCGAUCCUCCGCAGCCCGACAGACGUCGCCUUGUUUCAGUGGACGCUGCGGCCAAGGUGCAAUUG
RNAcentral lists this long non-coding RNA (1537 nucleotides) under Volvox carteri. RNAcentral's name for it is "long non-coding RNA (VCAR_LNC001841)". The record is from RNAcentral. Lineage: Eukaryota; Viridiplantae; Chlorophyta; Chlorophyceae; Chlamydomonadales; Volvocaceae.